Molecule: long non-coding RNA, 664 nt
Organism: Neogale vison (American mink)
Lineage: Eukaryota; Metazoa; Chordata; Mammalia; Carnivora; Mustelidae
Exons: 3
Source: RefSeq, a predicted model, not a curated record
UGAAGCCUGUGGAAAGAGCUGCCAGAAGGAUGACAGGAGCUGUGACCUUUCAGCCCAGGGUGCAGUGAGCCAGAGUCCCCGAGAUGGGGAGAUCUGCGUGAGGCCUGGGUUGGACACAGCAGGGAGGUCGGAGAUGUCCAGCCUGCGGAGGUUCCUGAGAGGAGGCAGCAAGGGAGGUUAACAUCAGAGAAAAAGGCGAGAAUGCCAGAAUCUUCACUGACUGCCAGAAGUUGAGACCCACUCGGAUGUGUGCACCGUCUCUGAGGAACGUGCCGGAGGAAGGUGCUCAGACCAGGAGAACAUUUUAACUGGAGCCAAGCGAGGGGUAGGUGGGUGCAUGAGCUACAUUUUCCAGAGAAGAGGAAAAAGGGGAGGAAAAAACAGAGGAAGAGGGAGGGAAGGAGGAGAAAGGAAGGAAAAGAACAGCGAUGUUUACUGAACUCCUGGGCUGUAUCGGGCCCGUGCCACACACUUCAUGGCAGUAAGUCUCUUGAGUCUUUCCAGCAAACCUUGCAGGUUCAUACAACCACUGCCCCGUUUUACAAGUGACAGAGCAGGAGCUCAGGAACAAGGUCUGAGCGGAGCCAGCAGGGACAGAGCCCAGGGUUCAUGAAAAGUCCCAAGGGCCUCUGGCUCAGUGCUCCACAGCCUCCCCCACCCCACG